CGCGCAGGCGGCAUCGCAAGUCGGUCUUAAAAAGUGCGGGGCUUAACCCCGUGAGGGGACCGAAACUGCGAAGCUCGAGUGUCGGAGAGGAAAGCGGAAUUCCUAGUGUAGCGGUGAAAUGCGUAGAUAUUAGGAGGAACACCAGUGGCGAAAGCGGCUUUCUGGACGACAACUGACGCUGAGGCGCGAAAGCCAGGGGAGCAAAACGG
RNAcentral lists this ribosomal RNA (209 nucleotides) under uncultured bacterium. RNAcentral describes it as "partial 16S ribosomal RNA". It matches the Rfam family "Bacterial small subunit ribosomal RNA", at positions 568 to 776 of the family's 1533-position model. The record is from RNAcentral.